This 467-nucleotide ribosomal RNA is filed under the name uncultured bacterium. RNAcentral describes it as "partial 16S ribosomal RNA". It matches the Rfam family "Bacterial small subunit ribosomal RNA", at positions 29 to 507 of the family's 1533-position model. The record is from RNAcentral.
ACGAACGCUGGCGGCGUGCUUAACACAUGCAAGUCGAACGGAAAGGCCCUGCUUUUGUGGGGUGCUCGAGUGGCGAUCGGGUGAGUAACACGUGAGUAACCUGCCCUUGACUUUGGGAUAACUUCAGGAAACUGGGGCUAAUACCGGAUAGGAGCUCCUGCUGCAUGGUGGGGGUUGGAAAGUUUCGGCGGUUGGGGAUGGACUCGCGGCUUAUCAGCUUGUUGGUGGGGUAGUGGCUUACCAAGGCUUUGACGGGUAGCCGGCCUGAGAGGGUGACCGGCCACAUUGGGACUGAGAUACGGCCCAGACUCCUACGGGAGGCAGCAGUGGGGAAUAUUGCACAAUGGGCGGAAGCCUGAUGCAGCAACGCCGCGUGCGGGAUGACGGCCUUCGGGUUGUAAACCGCUUUCGCCUGUGACGAAGCGUGAGUGACGGUAAUGGGUAAAGAAGCACCGGCUAACUACGUG